CAGCAGUGGGGAAUAUUGCACAAUGGGCGCAAGCCUGAUGCAGCCAUGCCGCGUGUAUGAAGAAGGCCUUCGGGUUGUAAAGUACUUUCAGCAGUGAGGAAGGUGGGUAUGUUAAUAGCAUACUCAUUUGACGUUUAGCUGCAGAAGAAGCACCGGCUAACUCCGUGCCAGCAGCCGCGGUAAUACGGAGGGUGCGAGCGUUAAUCGGAAUUACUGGGCGUAAAGCGCAUGCAGGUGGUUUGUUAAGUCAGAUGUGAAAGCCCGGGGCUCAACCUCGGAAUUGCAUUUGAAAACUGGCAAACUAGAGUACUGUAGAGGGGGUAGGAAUUUCAGGUGUAGCGGUGAAAUAGCGUAGAGAUCUGAAGGAAUACCGGUGGCGAAGGCGGCCCCCUGGACAGAUACUGACACUCAGAUGCGAAAGCGUGGGGAGCAAACAGGAUUAGAUACCCUGGUAG
RNAcentral lists this ribosomal RNA (455 nucleotides) under uncultured bacterium. RNAcentral describes it as "bacterial SSU rRNA". It matches the Rfam family "Bacterial small subunit ribosomal RNA", at positions 349 to 793 of the family's 1533-position model. The record is from RNAcentral.